This 92-nucleotide transfer RNA is filed under the name Verrucomicrobiota bacterium. RNAcentral's name for it is "Verrucomicrobia bacterium tRNA-Sec". It matches the Rfam family "Selenocysteine transfer RNA". Lineage: Bacteria; Pseudomonadati; Verrucomicrobiota. The record is from RNAcentral.
GGAGGCGUUAGAAGGCUGGUGCCUUUUCUGGUCUUCAAAACCAGCGUGGGGUUCAACCAAAUCCCAGGUGGGUUCGAUUCCCAUCCGCCUCC